Molecule: long non-coding RNA, 1552 nt
Organism: Vicia villosa (hairy vetch)
Lineage: Eukaryota; Viridiplantae; Streptophyta; Magnoliopsida; Fabales; Fabaceae
Exons: 3
Source: RefSeq, a predicted model, not a curated record
ACACACUCAACCUCACUUCUCUCUCACCUUAACCCUACUCUCUCUCCUCACGUUCCUCAUUUUUUCACAAAACCUUCCACUUUCAUCUUCUUCCACCGCUACAUCUUCUUCCACCGUCUACUUCUGAAACUCAAAUUUCUCAUUUCAAAACUCAAUGUUCUUCUUUCUUUUCUCUAUUUCAGAAUCGAAGCAUAAAUAUGGAUCUGAGGACGAACAAGGGAGUAGAGAAUGAAAGGCUACUCCUAUGGCGGUGUGGGAUUCGUGAGGAACGUGUGGUGGUCGGUCAUUAUUUAUGCGAUUUGAAGGUUUUUUACAGGCUUUAUUUAUAUGUGCACAUUUUAGGGGUUUCAAAAUGUUGGAUUCAAAUUUGGAGAGGUCAGUCCUUCUGAUUAAACUCAGAUCUGAGGUAUUUAUUUAGCAAACUGAUCAAUAUUUACAUUCAGUUCUUACUAAAAUAAUUUCUCUUUGAUUUUUCACUAACUUAGUUUUAUAUGAUUCAUUAUGUAUUGUUUUUUUAUGUGGAGAAAAUAGAUUAGAUCUACAAAAUUAACUUGUGUGUGAGGGUGAAGAAGAAAACAACAACGUAACUUGAAUCUAAUUUUUUUUACAUGUUUAAAACUAAAUUUGUUAGGUACAUGCUGAAGCAAAUUGGAGUGAAUAUUGCAAAUGUUUAUGGGGGUGCUCCUAUUAGUCAACAUCCAUCUUCGGGUUUUCGAGAGGGGUGUUGAUAUUCUGGUUGCAACUUUGGAAUGUUUGGUGAAUAUGAUUGAGGGAGGAAAGGUAAUAUGAUGUCUAUUAUUGAUGCAACAUUGAUUUGUUAUAUACAUGAAUGUCCCAUAUUAAUAACUUCUUAUUGAUUUGUCUGCAACAUUUAUAUUAGAGGUAUCACAAUCGCGGCAACGGUGGUGGCGGGGAUGGUUUUGCGAGAGGUUAAGGUAAUCGCAGAGGUUCUGUUUCUACCGUGAAUACUUGUGAUCUGAAUCUCAUUAAGUCAUCUGAAGUUCAUGACAAUCACAUUGAUCAUCCAAUUCUUAUUUACUCUCAUGUUGUUUGUGACACAAACAAGACUGUACCAGUUGAUAAUGAUCUAUCCAUGAGUCAUGCUAGACACAAAGACUUGGUUCCAAUUUUCAACUAUUUCAAAUAUAAGGGCUUUUAUGUUUUUUUAUGUUCUCUACUUUAAUUUUAUAUAUGGUUUAGUUAGAGGGAAAGAAACUAUGUUCUUCUGGUUUUAUUCAUGGUUCUGACUGUUUGAUUGUUGUUGGUAUAAGUGGGAUUAGUUAUGUGGAUGUUACAGUAUCUACAGUUUGGGCUAUGUGGAUGUCGAAAGUUGAUUAUGCGUUUGCUGAUUCCUGUUCGCUUGAUAUCUCCUCUGGCACCACUGCUUCAACUGCUCUUGUAUUUGGGAGGAUACUAAAGUUGUAUUAUUAUCAUUACUCUUUGGUAACCAUAUAAUGGGCAUUUGCUUAUUUAGUUAUAAUUUACUUGGGAAAAUCCAAAGAAACUUGGAUAGUGUUUUUGUCCUCUCUUAUUGGAGAUGGAAGGCAAAACU